GGGGAUGUAACGGUUUCGACUGCGGUUUGAAGGUCGGUGAAGCUAUUCGCGUGAAGCUGCGUUAACACUUCAAAUUAAAUAUAAACGCUGAAGAUAAUUUAGCUUACGCUGCCUAGUGGCAGCUGCUUACCCUAACGUACUCAUCCGUUAGGAGUAGGUAUCGACUAGAUGAGAAACGAUGCAUACAAAGCUUUGAGUAUGUAGGCGUAUUAUGAAGCUACUGAAGUUAGUCGAGUGUUGGUUCUUGACUUAUAGAGGGAAUGUGCCUAGUGCGAAACAAAUCAACUAUAAUAGUAGAAGAACGAAGGGAUGGUCGUAGGACACGGGUUCAACUCCCGUCAUCUCCAUUG
This 350-nucleotide transfer-messenger RNA is filed under the name Lachnospiraceae. Its description in RNAcentral is "SIG301 sp015057455 Standard tmRNA". It matches the Rfam family "transfer-messenger RNA". Rfam says of the family: Bacterial tmRNA, also known as 10Sa RNA or SsrA, is named for its dual tRNA and mRNA-like properties. Its role is to liberate the mRNA from a stalled ribosome. To accomplish this part of the tmRNA is used as a reading frame that ends in a translation stop signal. RNAcentral also lists the same sequence under 1 other name. Lineage: Bacteria; Bacillati; Bacillota; Clostridia; Lachnospirales. The record is from RNAcentral.